RNAcentral lists this ribosomal RNA (504 nucleotides) under uncultured Sphingobacteriales bacterium. Its description in RNAcentral is "bacterial SSU rRNA". It matches the Rfam family "Bacterial small subunit ribosomal RNA", at positions 903 to 1382 of the family's 1533-position model. Lineage: Bacteria; Pseudomonadati; Bacteroidota; Sphingobacteriia; Sphingobacteriales. The record is from RNAcentral.
CGCCUUGCCAGCCCGCUCAGAAACUUAAAGGAAUUGACGGGGCCCGCACAAGCGGAGGAGCAUGUGGUUUAAUUCGAUGAUACGCGAGGAACCUUACCUGGGCUCGAACGUAAGAUGACUGUAGGUGAAAGCUUACAUCUCUUCGGAGCAUUUUACGAGGUGCUGCAUGGUUGUCGUCAGCUCGUGCCGUGAGGUGUCGGGUUAAGUCCCAUAACGAGCGCAACCCCUACCUUUAGUUGCCAUCAGGUUAAGCUGGGGACUCUAAAGGAACUGCCUACGCAAGUAGUGAGGAAGGCGGGGAUGACGUCAAAUCAGCACGGCCCUUACGUCCAGGGCUACACACGUGCUACAAUGGCCGAUACAGAGGGCAGCUACCUGGUGACAGGAUGCAAAUCUCCAAAGUCGGUCUCAGUUCGGAUCGGAGUCUGCAACCCGACUCCGUGAAGUUGGAUUCGCUAGUAAUCGCGCAUCAGCCAUGGCGCGGUGAAUACGUUCCCGGGCCUU